Molecule: long non-coding RNA, 2306 nt
Organism: Rosa rugosa (rugosa rose)
Lineage: Eukaryota; Viridiplantae; Streptophyta; Magnoliopsida; Rosales; Rosaceae
Exons: 4
Source: RefSeq, a predicted model, not a curated record
AUCGAGAGACAGAGAGAGAGAACCAGAGUUCUCUGACCCGAAACAGCAACCUGCGACCCGAAGAAGCGACCGGCCGGCGCUCCCCAGUCCGGCAACUCCAUGACUGCGCACGGGCACCCACGAAUUCGUCUCUACUUCGCCUACGUCGCUGUGUCCUUGGAUCGACCAUGCACUGAACGGAGAAGAAAACCCGACGACGAGAAGCCCAAACCUUCAUCGGCAACCUCUGCAAUUUCCGGCGCCUCCGGCCACCUUCUGGGCCGUCUGUGCAACUUUCCCGGCUCUCCUUGGCUUGUCUCGGCCUCACCUGCAACUGUAGACAAGGUAUUAGGCAGCUUGCUGGGUAGAUCACGUCGACACCCUCAGUUCAUCACCAACCCAGUUUCGGCAGUGAGCUCAGGAAGCUGAGUUUGGGUUGGUUUAAGGGAUCUCCUCUAUUUCGAAGGACUCCAGUUACCCGAGGAACGGAAGGUUCGUGACUCUCGGAGUAUGUGAGAGAAAGCAUUGGAAUCCAGUAUGGAUGCAGGUACUGUGCACUGGUGACGGGACAGUAGCGGACGGAGUCGGGUGUGCGGAAAAAGUUCGGUAAACAUUAUUUGGAUGCUGUUUUAGAAUCUAUUUCUCGAACUCCGUGUUUCGGAACUAGUGGUUAUUUAGCAUCGUGUCAAUUUUAGUUGAAUUCUCUUUCAUUGAAAUUCAUACCUCGUGUGAUCCUUAUCCAAGUACUGGAUGAGUGAAAUAGAUUUCAGCAACUCUAGUUUUUCACCUCAAAAAUAUCGAUAGCUUCCGCUGUGUUUUGCAAAAAGUUUUCUAACAAAAUGCCUAGCGGUCCUCUAGAAUGUGAAUCGAGCUUUCGGUUUAUAUUUUAGAGCCUCGCGGCACUGUGACGUGCCCAAGCUGGUGAGGUGCGGUUUGGGGCUCUACAGAAAGUGGUAUCAGAGCAAUGCUUUCGAGUUUUCGAUUUCAACGAUUUAAAAACCUCUGAUACCCGAAAAAGUUUCUGUCGGCUCGUGAAAAUUUCCAAGUCCUAGUAACAAGUCGACUUGGGAAAUGCUUGUUUGAGAACGUGUUUCUGAACCUUUGACUUGGAACUGUUUGACUUCGGUUUUGAAGACCGAGUUUCGAGAAACGUUUCGAAAAUUUUUUCAGAAAAUGUUUUGGAAAAAGCGUUUGUUUGUGAAGGAGUUUCUGAAGUGUGUUUUGAUGGAGAUAUGCUUUGUGCCGAAAAAGGCAAGUUUUAGUGGAAAUCGAUGUUUAACUUCAAUGUGGGUUUUUACUUUUGAGGUUUUUAAACAAAACCUUGGACUGUUUUAAACAGUUUUUCGAAGUUCGUCUAGAGUCUUGAUUUCCGAUUACAUGGGAGAUUUUAGGAAUUUCUUUACCAUGAAAUUCCGGUUCACUCCUUCGUAGUGAGAAAUGAUUGUUGCUAGUGUGUGUUCAUAUAAUUACAACUAUUCACGCGGUGUAGGGCCCGACUGGCCACCGGAUCCCCCUAAUGUAUACCGAGGUUGAAAGUUGUUAAUUUCUGAAUACAACUUGCGACAAAUAAAUGACUAUAGAGUUAUUCUCCGAACUUUGACUUCUUGUUGGUCGGAACUAUUGUUGUUCUUCCUUUGGAUCUCUUAAUCCGAAAACUGUUAUCCCUUCUUCUAAAAGUUGACUUAUGUUCCGACUUGUCUUUGUAAUUGAACUUGUGUUUGCGUGAUUUUCUAUCCUUUUGAAUGUUGUUAUAUUGUUGGAUUCACUUACCGAUUUGGUUGUUUGCCAUCGCUUUGUUCAGUGAAUCUGGUUCGUUAAAAAUUGUGCUUAUUGCUAUUAAAGUUGGACUUGCUAAUUGUUUCUUCCUUGGAUAUCCUGUCGAGUCUAGUUUACUUGAUUGCUUCCACAGACUCGAUUGUUGUGAUUUGUCUUAAAGUCUUUUCAAGUCCAACUGUUAUAUGUUUAUACAUUAUGUUGAAUUGAUUUAUGGAUUCACUUCCAAAUUGUGCAUAUUCACGUGAAUCCUGUUCAUUGAAAUAUUGAUCGAGCGUUCGGUUUAUGUUUUAGAGACUCGCGGCACUGUGACGUGCUUAAGCUGGUGAGGUGCAGCUUGGGGCGUUACAACUGCGAAAUUUUUAACUGUCGUCUGAUUAAAUGGGACGACAGCAAGAUUAAUUCUAUUGUGUUUGAUAGCAUCAGACAAUACUUCUUGUUGGGUAAGUGUGAUGUUGUCCCCGUUUCGUCAAGGCACAACAGAAUUAAACAUUGCUAUUGUCCAACUGACUACUUUCAGACAAGAGUUAUUGCUCUGAUGUUGUGCCACUUGA